UACGGAGGGUGCAAGCAUUGAUCGGAAUUACUGGGCGUAAAGGGCGCGCAGGCGGUCGGGAAAGUCAGAUGUGAAAUUCCGGAGCUCAACUCCGGAGCUGCAUUUGAAACUUCCUGACUAGAGUUCAGUUAGGGAAAACGGAAUUCCACGUGUAGCGGUGAAAUGCGUAGAUAUGUGGAAGAACACCGGUGGUGAAGACGGUUUUCUGGGCUGAUACUGACGCUGAGGCGCGAAAGCAAGGGGAGCAAACAGG
RNAcentral lists this ribosomal RNA (253 nucleotides) under uncultured bacterium. RNAcentral describes it as "partial 16S ribosomal RNA". It matches the Rfam family "Bacterial small subunit ribosomal RNA", at positions 524 to 776 of the family's 1533-position model. The record is from RNAcentral.